This 6021-nucleotide long non-coding RNA is filed under the name Phocoena sinus (vaquita). Its description in RNAcentral is "lncRNA (ENSPSNG00000011629.1)". The stretch from base 3382 to 3454 matches the Rfam family "tRNA". Lineage: Eukaryota; Metazoa; Chordata; Mammalia; Artiodactyla; Phocoenidae. The record is from RNAcentral.
CGGUCCCUCCCUAGUCGCCCACUUCCGCUUCCGGUCGGCGCACCACUGCCUUGGUUUCUUAUGCGAUGGUGAGUAGGGAAAGGGACGUGAGUGUUCUUGGAGGUCUUUGUUCCGGCCGCAGGCACAGGGGCCAGAUCUCAAGGAUCUGAGGGGGAAAGGGCGGCGAAUGGCGGAGGGUCGGAACCAGGGAAUUUCAACGAGCUCGGCUUGGCGAAGGAAGGGUUUGAGGAAGCGGGUCGCCGAGCGUCCCGGGGUGUGGGGGGAUGGGGGGCGGGGCCCGGGCCGGCAGCCCUUGGUACUCCUCAGGCUCGGAAGGAGCAGUUUGAGGCCGGCAGCUCUGACUCUGAGACGGGCAUCUCCCGUUUGGGAGACUCCAAUCCAGGCAGUCGCGGAUUGAUGGUAUCUUGAAUUCUUUCACGGUAGCCACCCACCCACUUAUGUACUAAUUUCAGAGAUUUCUGUCUGUGAAGGCAUUUCUGUAAAGAGCUGCUGAAGUUGAAUCUUCAUGUUCUGUAUGUGUUCCUUGGAGAAUUUUAAAGCACCGUGCAAGUUGUGAAAGAUUCUUUUGCUGAUGUAUUGCUGCUGGGUCUGGUUUUUGUCGCGUCUGAGGUACACACAGGUUGAAUUCCGCUCUAAAUGUCACAAACUGAUAUAGAGACCAAACUAGUGGUUACCAGUGGGGAGAGGGGCAAGAUUGGGGUAGGGGAUUAAGAGGUACAAACUGUUGUGUAUAAAAUAAGCUACAAGGAUUUAUUACACAACAAAGGGAAUAUAGCCAACAUUUUAUAAUAACUAUAAAUGGAGUAUAACCUUCAAAACUUGUGAAUCACUAAAUUGUACACCUGUAACAUAAUAUUGUACAUCAACUAUACUUCAAUAAAAAAAUCCUUCCCCCGCCCCCCAAAAUUUAAAUGUCACAUAGCAUGUGGGAGUCACAGCUCUGAAUUCAAUUCGAGACUGUGUCCUGAUUCUUUUUGUCUCCUGGGAGCUACAGUGAGUGCAGGCUUGCAGACAAGGCACAAAGCAGGACUGGCAUGGGCCCUUCUCUCUGAGUCCUGUAGGGAGGGUGGUCCCUUUCCAGGACACCUGAAGGAAGUAAUAGGAGUAGAUUACAGGAAGGGUAGGUUAAAGGGAGGAGUAGAUUACAUCCAGCUGGUGCUCAGAGAUGUUUCCCUGUGGUGUGUUGGGAAUUAUGAUAACAUCAUGUUAUCUCAUGGCUCAUUUAUUUUCUUGCUCUCUUCCAACUGUUCCUUUGCCAGAGAGAACUGCAUCAAAGAGGAAGGAACAAUCCCAGGUCUCUUGCCAUUGGAGCUCCAGGUCUCUGGAACAUGGAAACCAAGAAGCAGGCUCUGGAGAGUGGAGGUGGAGGUAGGUACUUGGGAGCCCAGGUAUCCAUCUGAAGCUCCUCAUCAGAGCUUGGACAGUCUCAAGAAUGAAGAACCACUGGAUCUUCUGCUUCUCCAGUUUAGGAAGAUCAGAGAAUAAAUAAAACUGCUGGGCUUCGCUGGUGGCGCAGUGGUUGAGAGUCUGCCUGCUAGUGCAGGGGACACAGGUUUGAGCCCUGGUCUGGGAGGAUCCCCCACGCCGCGGAGCAACUGGGCCCAUGAGCCACAACCACUGAGCCUGCGCAUCUGGAACCUGUGCUCCGCAACAGGAGAGGCCGCGAUAGUGAGAGGCCCGCGCACCGCGAUGAAGAGUGGCCCCCACUCGCCGCAACUAGAGAAAGACCUCGCACAGAAACGAAGACCCAACGCAGCAAAAAAAAAAAAAGAUUAAUUAAUAAACUCCUACCCCCAACAGCUUUAAAAAAUAAGUAAAUAAAAUAAAAUAAAUAAAUCUGGUUUAAAAAUAAAAAAAAUAAAAAUAAAUAAAACUGCUGAUGCUCCAGAAACCUAGGAGGGGUGACCAUGGAGACUUUUUCCUCCUCAAGGCGGGAGGAAAUUGUUGAGAGCUUAUGAAGGGUGGGGAAGAAUCUAAGUCGGGUGUGGAGAGAGGAAAUGUGAGGUGGAUGAAGAGCUGCGUCCAGUGAAAAGAAACCAGUCUAAGGGGUCAGACAUUCCUGAGGUCCAGGUGGGUAGUCAGAGCGCCCAGGCAGGCCCCACCUUUCUUAAUGCUUCUCUUCUCCUGCAGCUCUGCGUUCUCAAGCCUCAGCCCUUUCCCAAGACGGGCAAGACAAAACCAAGUUUCAGGUGGGUCGAGUUCUCUUUUCUCUCCAGAAAUAACAACGUAAGGCAUCAGAGAGUAAACGUACGUCCCUCCCUUGGUAAAAGGAAAAAGAGGGGGAAAAACAUAUUAGGUGAGCACAGUACAUUACUCAGUGCAUUUAUGCCCAAAAUACCUGUGUGAGAGAGGUGGUAUGAUUCUGCUUUAGAGAUGAAGAAAUGAGUGGUGAAUCCUGGAUUUGAGCCCAGGUCUGUAGGACUCUGUAAUGUGCCUGUUUGCUCUACAUACGGCCAGUCAAUAAUGGUUUCAUCUCAGGGCCCUGAGCCCACAUUAUGUAGAGAAGUGACUCCAAAUAAUGAAUCCUCCUUUUCUGCCCAGGUUUUUCUCCUCAGUGGGACAUUUCUUCUUAUUCAUUUCCAGAUGUUGUAUUCUCCACGUAAUACACGCUACCAAAACUUAUACUAUGAACAAAGUUAAAAGACAGCAUAUUGGGUGAAAAAAGCUUCAUGCACAACAAAAUUUUAAUAUCCUUAUUUUAAAAACAGGAGCUGGGAAUAAAGACCUGAGCCUUCAUGUUCAGGAAGGGAGAAAAGAGGAAAAACAAAUGACCAAUAAUCAUAUGAAAAGAUGACCAGCCUCUAGUAAUCAAAGUGAUGCAGAUCGAAACAAGAUGUGAUUCUUUUCCUAGCAGAUGACCAAAGAUUUGAAAGAUCGGUGUUCACUGUUAGCUAACAUAUGGAGAAAUGGGUACAUCCACACAACUGCAGGGGCAUUUCAGCCCUUGUAGAAGUUCUGCAAACCUCUGCUCCAGUAUUUCCCACUCCAAGAAUUCUAAGUCAGAGCAAGUGUUCAAAGGAUGAUCAUCACAGCAUUGUUUGUAACAGUGAAAAAGAAAAAGAUGGUGGCGUGGACUCCAUGUCCAUCCAUUGCAUUGGUGUUGGAUCAGUGGAUUAUCGUGGUUUCAUUCGUCCUCUUGUCUCGACCCUGUGCUGCUAUCAAGUGAGAUAAAGUGGGUGAAAAUAUUAGGACAUGGAAAUAUGUGUGUGCACGCUCUCUCUCUCUCAUUAUAUGUACACGUGUAUAUUGUAACUUAUCUUUAAAUUGGGGGAAAAGAAGUCAAAGUGAAUGCAGAAUUUUAAGUACUUUUUUCCAUACAUGAUAUUAUUUUAUAAAGCUUUCUCUAAUGAAGAGAGAUUAUAGAAAAAAGUUUGCAGGAAUGCCCUGGCGGUCCAGUGGUUAGGACUUGGUGCUUUCACUGCCGUGGCCCCGGGUUCAAUCCCUGGUCAGGGAACUAAGAGGGUUUGGAGCAAGAAGACCACAACUUAAUGACUGGCACAAAAGCUUCCAACGUGGCUCUUCUUCCAGGGGUCGUUUGUGCAGAUGAUGAAUGUGGCAUGUGCUUGAAGUUUUAGGAAACUGUGACCUUCAAGGACGUGGCUGUGGUCUUCACCAAGGAAGAGCUGGCGCUGUUGGACUCCACCCAGAUAAACCUGUACCAAGACGUGAUGCUGGAGAACUUCAGGAACCUGGUCUCUGUGGGUGAGGACAGCGACCUCCCUGUAAGUAAGCAUCAAACCACUGGUCCUGUUUUCUCAAGUGGUCAGCUUCAAACCAGGUAGAAUAUUCCAGUUGGAGCACAAAGGGAAACUUUGGCCACCAGAGAGAAAUCUCCUAAGAGAUGCACGUGCAGGUGGGAACCUGCAGUUCAUGAGUUUUAGCAGAUAACUGUGAGCCGGUGGUACCCUGUAAGGUGCUGGUGAGGGAGCCCUUGUCAACGCUGCGCCCCCUGCCCUGUGGGUAUCUGAUGCAGUUGGCAAGCCUACCCUGACCUCCUCACACGUUUAGGCUCUCAUUCUCUCCUCAUAUUUCUCAGAGUGAGAUUGAGAAAAUUCACACAUUACCAAGGCCUUGGUCCCUUGGUUGCCUCUAGAGCGAAACCAAUGUUUUGGACAAACUAGUGUUAAAGGAACCAAAUUAGGAUCUGGUUGGUGGUCAAUGCAAUAUAAGUGUCUGCUGAUUUGCUUCCGUGCUGAUCAAUAUCUAACCUAAUUUCAAUUUCUCAGAGCCCCAUAUACAGAUAUGUAUUACCUCAGUUUAGUUUGUGAGAUAGUUGCUAUCAUUGCCCCCCUUUUACAGAGGAAACAACUGAGGCACAGAGUGGGUAAGUAACUUGUCCAGGGCCACCCAGCUUGUCAGAGGAACUAGGAUUUGAACCUUCCCAAUCUGGCUGUAGACCCUGUGCUUGUAAUAACCAGGUGACACUUAAGUACCACUAUGUCCAUAGAUUAUAAACAGGGCUCCUUGGGCUAAAUCUGCAGGAUGCAACCCCAUUGGUGAGUCCUGAAAUCAAGUGACCAUGUCAUAACUAGCAGUUUUUGAAAAGCAAAAUAGAUUAACGGACUAGAACACAAAAGGAUUUAUCAGAGUAGAUUGCACCUGGUAAGGUAAAUCUCAGCUGAUAAAACGAUUUUAGUUUAUGGUAUGUGUCUACGUGUAGGUACUGGGUCACAGUGUAAAUGCUUUUCUUACUAUGGGUACAGUCAAAACUGGUGGAAAACUGCUGCUUUAAACCUGUUUCCCUUUUCUCUGACACCACCUUAUGAACCAGAGUCACUGUCAGUAAAAUGACUCAGAAAAUUACCUUGAACCAGAAGCAGUGUCCAGACGGUUUUAACCAUGGUUUUUGUGACAUUUUGAAGCCUAUUUUUGGGUGCCAAGGGUGUGACCAUCCUCUUCUGCCUCAAACCCCUGUUUCUUAUGUCCCUUUAGUACAGUCUUGCUUCCCUGGGUGCCAGGCCAUUGACAGUUUCAUGCUGCCAAUUCUCAUAGCCAUGGCUGUUUGAGAUUCUGCAGUAACCUCAAAGGGGAGAAGUUAAGGAAUUGGAUGGCAGGAUCUUGGUGGACUUUGUCUCUUCAUGAAGCAGCCAGGGAACCUCAGGAAAGAUAAAAAGGAUGUCUCAUAUUUCACAAUGUUAUCCCCGUUUCAAUCCCCACUGCAGCUGUAGGCCCACCCUGUACAGUUGUGAAGGUUGUACACAAACAUACAUGAUAGUUCUAUCCCAUAUAACAGUGAUGUAAGGGAAGGGACAUCGUUAGGGAAUAGGACUUGUUACUUGUUUCUGCAACCUUUUACAGGAUCCUGGAAGGUCCCUGUGAUCGUUUGUGCCUCUCACCAUGUCCAGAACUCCAUUAUUAUGCAUAUUACAUGAAUCAUAUGGGAGCAUUCCCCAUGCCUUCUGUAGUAAAAUGAUUAAAGGCUUUUUAUCAACUACUCUUAUAACCGAGAGGUGAAUUUCUUCCUUUGUAAACUAUUUCCAAGAUUUCUUUUGAUUUCCCUGCAAUACCUGGUUUUUAAUUAGCAGCUCACCGAUUAGAAUUACUGGGUUUCUAAUUGUUUCCUAUAUGACUAGGAGCCAGUGGCAACUUCUCAUCCCAUCCUACUUCAUUUUCUCAAAGCCUUUGGAUAGAUGAUCUACUUGUUCACUUAGCCAAAUUCUCUUUCUCCUCAUAGGAGACAGGAUUAUAAACAACAUUGGGACGAACCUUCAGGAAAAAGGGUUGAGUUACCUGUCACCAGAAGUGCUCUACUUUUGGCAGAUUUGGAAACGAAGGAUCAGUGAAUUGAGUGUGAGUCAGGAUUAUGUCAUGCAUCUUCAAGGAGACUGUCCCCAGUAUUUAGAAGGAGAUGUUUCCCUCUGUGAAGAGUGGGCAGAAGUGUCUGAAAAUGAAAGGUAUGUAAUAAAUGCCAUUAAUUUAGAAAACCAAGACAUCACAGCUCGGAAAGGCCUGGCACAGGUCCUUACCCCAGGAUCUUGGAAGAAAGCCAACGUAAUGAUUGAGCCUGAGAAUUCUCAGGGA